Molecule: ribosomal RNA, 458 nt
Filed under: uncultured bacterium
Lineage: Bacteria
Description: partial 16S ribosomal RNA
Rfam family: Bacterial small subunit ribosomal RNA
Source: RNAcentral
CCUACGUGAGGCAGCAGUGGGGAAUAUUGGGCAAUGGGCGCAAGCCUGACCCAGCAAUGCCGCGUGAAGGAAGAAGGCUUUCGGGUUGUAAACUUCUUUUGCCGGGGAGCAAAGUGCCGCACGUGUGCGGUUUGGAGAGUACCCGGAGAAAAAGCAUCGGCUAACUCCGUGCCAGCAGCCGCGGUAAUACGGAGGAUGCGAGCGUUAUCCGGAUUUAUUGGGUUUAAAGGGUGCGUAGGCGGACGCUUAAGUCAGCGGUAAAAUUGCGGGGCUCAACCUCGUCGAGCCGUUGAAACUGGGUGCCUUGAGUGGGCGAGAAGUACGCGGAAUGCGUGGUGUAGCGGUGAAAUGCAUAGAUAUCACGCAGAACUCCGAUUGCGAAGGCAGCGUACCGGCGCCCAACUGACGCUGAAGCACGAAGGCGUGGGUAUCGAACAGGAUUAGAUACCCUUGUAGUC